CCUACGGGAGGCAGCAGUGAGGAAUAUUGGUCAAUGGACGAGAGUCUGAACCAGCCAAGUAGCGUGAAGGAUGACUGCCCUAUGGGUUGUAAACUUCUUUUAUAAAGGAAUAAAACGAGGCACGUGUGCCUUUUUGCAUGUACUUUAUGAAUAAGGAUCGGCUAACUCCGUGCCAGCAGCCGCGGUAAUACGGAGGAUCCGAGCGUUUUCCGGAUUUAGUGGGUUUAAAGGGAGCGUAGAUGGGUUGUUAAGUCAGUUGUGAAAGUUUGCGGCUCAACCGUAAAAUUGCAAUUGAAACUGGCAGUCUUGAGUACAGUUGAGGUAGGCGGAAUUCGUGGUGUAGCGGUGAAAUGCUUAGAUAUCACGAAGAACCCCGAUUGCGAAGGCAGCUUACUAAACUGUGACUGACAUUGAUGCUCGAAAGUGUGGGUAUCAAACAGGAUUAGAUACCCCUGUAGUC
This 460-nucleotide ribosomal RNA is filed under the name uncultured bacterium. RNAcentral's name for it is "partial 16S ribosomal RNA". It matches the Rfam family "Bacterial small subunit ribosomal RNA", at positions 338 to 795 of the family's 1533-position model. The record is from RNAcentral.